RNAcentral lists this ribosomal RNA (253 nucleotides) under uncultured bacterium. RNAcentral's name for it is "partial 16S ribosomal RNA". It matches the Rfam family "Bacterial small subunit ribosomal RNA", at positions 524 to 776 of the family's 1533-position model. The record is from RNAcentral.
GACGAACCGUGCGAACGUUGUUCGGAAUCACUGGGCAUAAAGGGCGCGUAGGCGGCUUUUCAAGUCAGGGGUGAAAUCCGGCAGCUCAACUGUCGAAGUGCCCUUGAUACUGAUGAGCUCGAGGGAGGUAGGGGUGUGUGGAACUUCCGGUGGAGCGGUGAAAUGCGUUGAUAUCGGAAGGAACGCCGGUGGCGAAAGCGACGCACUGGACCUCUUCUGACGCUGAGGCGCGAAAGCCAGGGGAGCAAACGGG